GUUAAUGUGGCAGAGUAUGGUUAUGCAAAAGGUCUAAACCCUUUGAACCGGGGUUCAAAUCCCCUCGUUAACU
RNAcentral lists this transfer RNA (73 nucleotides) under Odorrana livida (green cascade frog). RNAcentral describes it as "tRNA-Leu". It matches the Rfam family "tRNA". Rfam says of the family: Transfer RNA (tRNA) molecules are approximately 80 nucleotides in length. Their secondary structure includes four short double-helical elements and three loops (D, anti-codon, and T loops). Lineage: Eukaryota; Metazoa; Chordata; Amphibia; Anura; Ranidae. The record is from RNAcentral.